This 482-nucleotide ribosomal RNA is filed under the name uncultured bacterium. Its description in RNAcentral is "partial 16S ribosomal RNA". It matches the Rfam family "Bacterial small subunit ribosomal RNA", at positions 28 to 523 of the family's 1533-position model. The record is from RNAcentral.
AAUGAACGUUGGCGGCGUGGAUUAGGCAUGCAAGUCGAGCGAGAAGUGUAGCAAUACACGGAAAGCGGCGAAAGGGAUAGUAACACGUAGGUACCUACCCCCGGGCCUGGGAUAGCGGCGGGAAACUGCCAUUAAUACCAGAUAACGUCUCCGGACCAAAGGUGUGAUUCCGUCUGGGGAGGGGCCUGCGUCCUAUCAGCUUGUUGGUGAGGUAACGGCUCACCAAGGCUUUGACGGGUAGCGGGUGUGAGAGCGCGACCCGCAUCACUGGGGAGGAGACACUGCCCAGGCACCUACGGGUGGCGGCAGUCGAGAAUCUUCCGCAAUGGGCGCAAGCCUGACGGAGCGACGCCGCGUGCGGGAUGAAGGCCUUCGGGUUGUAAACCGCUGUCAGUGGGGAGGAAAUGUAUGGGGGUUCUCCCCCAUAUUUGACCGAUCCGCAGAGGAAGCACAGGCUAAGUUCGUGCCAGCAGCCGCGGUAA